RNAcentral lists this transfer RNA (71 nucleotides) under Pedospumella sp. Jangsampo120217C5. RNAcentral's name for it is "tRNA-Gly". It matches the Rfam family "tRNA". Rfam says of the family: Transfer RNA (tRNA) molecules are approximately 80 nucleotides in length. Their secondary structure includes four short double-helical elements and three loops (D, anti-codon, and T loops). Lineage: Eukaryota; Chrysophyceae; Chromulinales; Chromulinaceae. The record is from RNAcentral.
GCGGGUAUAGUUUAGUGGUAAAACGUUAGCCUUCCAAGCUAAUUAUGACAGUUCGAUUCUGUCUACCCGCU